UACGUAGGGUGCGAGCGUUUGUCCGGAAUUAUUGGGCGUAAAGAGCUUGUAGGUGGUUUGUCGCGUCUGCUGUGAAAACCCGAGGCUCAACCUCGGGCCUGCAGUGGGUACGGGCAGACUAGAGUGCGGUAGGGGAGAUUGGAAUUCCUGGUGUAGCGGUGGAAUGCGCAGAUAUCAGGAGGAACACCAAUGGCGAAGGCAGAUCUCUGGGCCGUAACUGACGCUGAGGAGCGAAAGCAUGGGGAGCGAACAGG
RNAcentral lists this ribosomal RNA (254 nucleotides) under uncultured bacterium. RNAcentral describes it as "partial 16S ribosomal RNA". It matches the Rfam family "Bacterial small subunit ribosomal RNA", at positions 524 to 776 of the family's 1533-position model. The record is from RNAcentral.